ACAGUAUUGGAUCAAGUACGUGGGCCUAGCCAGCGGCGACACGAUGGUCCUCUCCGGUGCUUGUAAAUGGAAAAAGAAAAAAAAGAGGGGAAAUGGCAUGAGGUGGCAAUUUUGCGAAGGCCAUAUUGACAGUGCCAUUUUUGCGAAGCCAGAUAUUGAAAGUGGCAAAUAUCCAAUUUUCUCCUCGCCGGCUGGACGACGGCGAGCGCCGGUGUCGAGGUGGGGCAGAACCGCAGAAGCCAUGAAGGGCCCGGCGCCUGCGGGCGGAAGCAGCAGGGGAGGUCGGCGGUUGGGAUGCUCGCCGGUUGGACGACGGCGAGCGCCGGUGAGCACAACGCAUGGUGUAGCAGGCUGGACAGGCAGCGGGAGCGGCAGUCAAGACCAUGGGCGGCUUGGUCACCUAGCACCGCAGUCACCCCCAACCCUCUUCAUUGCGCAAGGCUGCAGAAGGACGAACGGCGGCCUCCAUCCCUGGCUCAUCCUCCUUGCGCGUGCCGGCCUACCGGAGGUUGCCUCCUCUGUUGGUUGUCCUGGUUCCGCCCUAAUCUGUGGGGAUCCUCCCUCCCUCUCCAUCGAUUUGGGGAGGUAUGAUAUGGUGGUGGCUUGCAGUGUAGGAGGUGGGAGCGAAGACUCUGACGGCCAGAUCGAGAGGCUUAACUAAUGCAGCACCAUGGCAACUUAGCCCAAACAUGUCAUCAAGCAGGCGCCCAAGUGGAAUCCGGCAAUUGCUUGCUGCAGAGCAAGAGGCUCAGCAAAUUGUAAAUACUACCAGGGCUGGUAAAGUUCUCUGAUUUUGGGCUUGACUCAUUAUGAAGCGAGCAUAAUGUUGUGCGGUGAGUACAUUAUGAAUUGACCGUUUGUGUGGAUCUGCUCUGUUGGCUUAAAUUAAUAUUUUAUACUUGAAUACACCUGCCAACUUUUGUAGGAUUUGUCACAAUGUGAUGACAUUUUCUAAUUUAUUUGAUGUGUCUGUCCUGCCGUACCAAGUUUAUCAUACUGUGAAUUCAUGAUACAUCAUGUCCCAUUGUGAGUUGUUAUGAAAUCAUCAUCUGGUUUACAGCGCAGGCGCACAAUUGCUGGCAUUCUGUAACCCUUUACCUGGUAAUAUUGCCUUUGUUAUUUGAUAGGACGUGUCAUCUGAUUAUGUCGUUGGGUGGGAGUAUCUUAAAAGAAAGUGGAAUGUUUGCAUUGCAUUGUUAAGUUGGCAAAAUCUGUUGCAUUUAUGAAAGCACUUACCAUAGAAAUAUUUGAACUUCUAUGAAUAUUAUUGUUCACUACGAAGCUGAAAUUGAAGUAUCUACUUUUGUCUGUCAACUAAAAUCUGACGUCUUUGGCAGCGAAAACGGCAAGGCUUAGGCAAGCAAAAAAAGAGACUGAUAGAGAAAUAGAUGAGUACCGUGCCAUGAUAUCUAAUUCAGUUUCUACACCGUAUACUUAUUUUUUUUGUUAAAAAAUUGCAGUAAGCUUCAAUUCAUGAUCAAAUCUGCAAUACCUUUACUAUUUGGACUCACAAAUAGCAUCUAUGUCAGUACCAUUGAUAAAUACAUUUUCAGUUUCCCAAUAACCUGCAAUGCCUGCUCAGGUUAGUGAUUUGGCCCCCCACUUCAUAUACACCAAGAGAUAAACUGUCAAUUUGUAGUAUACUUUCUUAUGCUUGAGUGGGUCAAUAGAUUUUAGGCUUGAGUGUCUAAGUGUCAAAUUUAAAAGUAUAAGAAACAAGAUAAAUUGUGAUCUUGCAUUGUCUACUCCUCUAUUGAUGUGGCUCUUGGUUGCUGAAGCUCCCAGGAUUUAAUAAUGAGCUGUCUUGGGCUUCAUUGAACAAAUGAUCUACCUGGAGCAAUGGUACAGGCAAGUAUUUUUAUUUUAAACACUGAAAGCAUUAAGUUAUCAAGUGCUAAAAGAUCUGAGCUAUGGUAAUUGGCUGUCCUUUGGGGGCAGUGUAGAUUGUUGUUGAAGCCUGAUGGCCUUUUUCUUGCAGCAAUUCUUCUCUCAUGUGUUGAGGAUCUUUUGGGAACAUUUUUUCUGUAACUUCUUAUAGAGAUGUUCAAUUAGUUGCACAGACAUGCAUACAUGAUUCUGUGAGGAAAUUACUUUCUCUGGUCUCUUCUUUAUAAAUGUUUUCCAGUGGCUGUUUAAUAUAGAUGUUUCAUUUGUUGCAUAAAUAUGAUUCUAUGAGCAAAUUAUCUUCACCGAUCUGUUUUAGAGAGAUAUCUGAUUGGCUGCACGAGCAUAGAUGGUGUUAUGACCGGCAUAGGGGCUUAGCCCAGUGGGUUAUGGCCCAAGUAUCUUAAUUAGGGGCUUAGCCCAAUUAUCUUAUCGUAUUAGGAUCGUUUGCUUAGGAGUCAAGUAAACCUCUCUAUAUAAGGAGAGGAGAUGUAUCAAUCUAAUGAAGCAAGAAGCAAUCAAUAUUUGCUCGACUUCCCUUAGGGAGCCGGGAGACCUAAACCCUAGCCGCCUCCUGCUUUCGCCGCCGCUGCUCCCGUCGCAAGGACGGCGCCACGCCGGCGGCCGCCGCGCACCAGCCCUCGCCCUUCCCCCUCCUUCCCCUACAACCUACGCCCCAGGCCUGGUAGGGUACAAGCUCCUACCAAUUUGGUAUCCAGAGACUUGGGUCCGAUCAUGUCUUCGUCAACACUAUUGCCGCCGCUGCCCGUCUCCACCUCCGCGCCGAUGACCACUGCCGGGGCCUCCACGCUGUCGGGCCCAGUCACCACCGCAGGCUCCUCACCGCCCCCAACCCCCAUCACUUCCGCGCCGCCAACGGCCGCCGUCUUCACACCGGAACAGGUCACCACUACCUUGCGGGAUCUCGUGACGGCCGUCCAGGGACUCCUUCUGAACCAGUACCAACCGUACAUGGCCGGGCCGUACGCACCUCCGCUGGCUGCGCCGAUCGCCGCCUACGGCCACCCCACACUGCCAUGGCCGUCCCAGGGCGCGCCUGCCUACAGCAGGCAGCCGCUGCUGCCGUUCCAGGCAGGCUCCCCCACGCUGCCGUGGCCAUCCCAGGGCGCGCCUGCCUACAGCGGGCAGCCGCUGCUGCCGUUCCCGGCGGGCUCCCCCGCGCUGCCAUGGCAGGCCCAGGGCGCGCCGGCCUACACCGGGCUGCCGCUGUUGCCGUUCCAGGCGGGGCACCCCGGCGAGACCACUCCGGACGCGGCUCCUCUGUGGCAUCUGCCGCCGCCGCCAGCUGCGGCUCCCCUUUGGCAUCUGCAGCCGCCUUCCCCCGCGGCAACCGACGCACCCGCCCACUCUCCACAGCCGACGCUGCAACCACCGGCGCCACCUCUGCCCAGCUCAGGGGCGUCCUCGCCGGCCGGCCUUUCGAUACAUCAGGUCCAGUUUCCGGCCUCCCCGUCGCCACUACCAGCUUGGGCGGCUGGGUCUUCGCCAUCGCCGGUCUACACCACGGCUCCGGAGCAGCCGACCCCGUUUCCGCAGUUCGGCGGGCCAUCCAACUCCGCGGGUCCUUACCCGGAGUACUCCGACCAGGCGCCACCCGCCUCGCUACUCCGCACCUCCGAGCCAGCUCGACACGGCGCUCCGACCCAGACACCGUCGCGGUUCGCCAAGAUCGACUUCGCCACCUAUGACGGCACGGAGGACCCCCUCAACUGGCUCAACCAGUGCGACCAGUUCUUUCGCGGGCAGCGUACCCUCGCCUCGGAGCGCACCUGGCUCGCCUCUUACCACCUCCGCGGCGCGGCACAGACCUGGUACUACGCCCUCGAGCAAGACGAGGGCAGCAUGCCCCCUUGGGAGCGCUUCCGCGAGCUCUGCCUCCUUUGUUUUGGGCCCCCGAUCCGCGGGAGCCGCCUGGCGGAGCUAGGCCGCCUUCCCUUCACCUCCACGGUUCAGGACUUCGCCGACCGUUUCCAGGCCCUGGCAUGCCACGCGUCGGGCGUGACGGCGCAGCAGCGGGCCGACCUCUUUGUCGGUGGACUUCCGGAUCACAUCCGCGUGGACGUGGAGCUUCGGGGACCCCAGGAUAUCCAGACGGCCAUGUACUACACCCGUGCGUUCGAGCGCCGCGCAGUGGCCGUCCAACAGGAGUCACCGUCCCGGGCCACUGGGUCGCUACCCUGGCCAGAUCCGCUCAGGGUCGGCCUGCACAGGCUUCCGCGGCACCCCUCGCUGCGACUGCGGCGCGCCCGUUCCGCCGGCUCACCUCGGCCGAGCUACUCGAGCGUCGCCGCCAAGGGUUGUGCUUCAACUGCGACGAGCCCUACACGCCUGGCCAUGCCUGCCCGCGACUCUUCUACCUGGAGGUGCAGACUACAUUCCGGAGGACGCCGUCGCCGCCGACCUUGCCGCCCCAGCUGUCGCGAAGGUGUUUGAUGCUGGUUGAUCAUCUCGAGGAGUUCAGCAAGCGCUUCCCCACCUUACAGCUCGAGGACGAGCUAUUUGUGCAGGCAGGGAGAAGUGUUAUGACCGGCAUAGGGGCUUAGCCCAGUGGGUUAUGACAACAACGACGACAACGACAACGCUAUCACAACACCUGUUGUUGUUGUUGUUGUUGUUAGUCCCAAACAAGUUGGGGUAGGCUAGAGGUGAAACACAUAAGAUCUCGCAACCAACUCAUGGCUCUGGCACAUGGAUAGCAAGCUUCCACGCACCCCUGUGCAUAGCUAGCUCUUUGGUGAUACUCUUACGCCCCAACGAAAAUCUUUUGGAUUUCAUCUCCGUAAGAGUGGCUGAGUUUUUACGUUGGCUCGCCAAGCCUAUCACAAGCCUGCCAGGAUGGACAAUUCAAUUAAAAACCACUGGAACAGUUGUGCAAGGAAGAAAAUUGAUUCAUAUAUGUCAUCAGGUUUACAUGCUCAAGUCUCGUGUCUUCCACUUAUUGAACACCAUACCGAUUUAAUUUCCUCAUCGGUGAUUACCCAACUAAACAGUGAAGACAGUGAUAGCAAUGGUAUCCAUGAGGUUGAAGAUCCAUCAGGGUGUAGUCAGUCCUCAUUGGUAUGGUUUCUUCCUCAAGUGCAGAACGUCAAUCUGGCCUUGAGCUGUGAUUUACAUGUGAAUGCAUAUCCCAGCAAGACAGAAGCACAUGAUUAGUAAUCUUCUGUGUGUCAGAAUGGCUAUACUUCCACUGAGGGUGUUGCAUCUGUUGUCUGAGGUUCAUUGCCAUGUGUUAGCGGCUAGGGUUCUGCCCGGUCUUGGCCGGAGACAGUAGGGAAAGGAGGGGGAAGGGCGAGGGCCUGAGCGCGGCGGCCGGCGGCGAGGCGCCGUCCUGGCGCAGUGCGGCGGCGGCGAGAGAAGGAGGCAGCUAGGGUUUAGGGUUUCCGGCUCCUCUGGGAGCCGGGCAAUAGAAAUAGUCUUAUUGCUUAAUUCUCAAAAUAGUCUUACAGCUCGUAUAUAUAACCAUAAUCUGAAAAUAAAACUAAGAUAACUUGCGGGCCUAAGCCUGCCUGUUGGGCCUCCUGCGGCCAUAGACCUGGCCGGUCAUAACACCAUGUUUCUAACUCCAGAUUUGAUCCAGAUAAACUCUUGCUGUAUGAGAUAGUAAAUCAACCAUUUGUAGAACAAUGAAAGAUCGAUGUUUUGCAAAACAAUCAGACCAUUUGAUGUAUAAGAUAUAUUUACUUUAUUUUACUGUAUUUCUUAUGUUACCGUCGAUUGGUUUUUUAAUGUUCCUUUAUGUAAUGUGUCAAUAUGCAGCCAAGCAGUGUCUGUUGGUUCUUCUACUCUUGUCCUUGGAUAGAGAACUUUGCAUAAUAACUAACAUGAGCGCAGGACAAUGCUGACUGUGGCUUUGCUUUACCUCAUUUUCUUGUUUUCUCACUUAGAUGCUGUUAAAGUGUCUUGCCCUUUUUUAGUUGGUCCACCUGGACCACAAAACCUUGCUUCUAAUCUGGGACUGGAGAUAAAUGUUGUUGUAGUUUAUCGAGUAUCGACCAUUGAUUUUAGGCCCAGGUUAUUUUGAUCUGCUCCAUAAUACCGACUGUAUGCUGCUUUGGGUGCAACCAAGGUUGUGUGUAAGUCAAGGAAUGCUGAUCGUCGUGGCAUGGUGUGGAAUCAAAACUGAUAAUCAAGCUUUCAACAGUUUUUUUAGUUUGGCCUUUUUGCAGAAAAGAGUAUUACCGAAUAAACCAAUUUGAAGUAACUGAAUAAUUGGUCACCAAUUUGCAUUCAAUCUUCUAAAGUUUGCUAAUAUAUGUGAUUAUGUACCAUGAAGUCCAUGGCUAACAGCUUCAGCUUUAUACUUGACAUAUGUGGCCAAAAAGAUCUGUACUGAAACAUCUAGAGAAAUCAUCAGAGAGAAUACUAUGGAUGAGAAUGGACUUUUGGGGGCAAACUGUUUCAAAACCCUCUGGGUUUGAAUCUGGACCCUGCGCCAUUUGCCUCAUGUUACUCGAAUAAGAUAACAAAAGAUGCAUGCUCAAGUAUAUAUUUUCAAAGAUAAAUUAUCCUUCAUUAUUCAUCUUAAAGAGUGUGAAUUACCAUAAGUGGUUGCUAAAAUCUACGUCUACUAAAGAAGUCAAAUAUAACACUUCGGGUUUGACAUGGUCUGCGCUUGCUCAAACAUAAAAAAGAAACUGAAAAAGAAAACAUUUACAACGUGCACGUGGUUUCAAAUGGGACUCGUGGUCUAUGUAAAUUUUCUUUUAUACAUGGGGAUCUAAAUUCUUAACGUGGGUGCUAGCUCAGCAAAAAAUUACUGAAAAUUACACAUUUUUAGUGGUAUACAACGGGACUUUGUGCUGUCAAAUUUAAAUGUGUGUGUACAAUCUCUUUUAGACAAUAAGCCACCAUUCCUUAUUUUUUUAUAUUAAAAAGCGUUCAAUUUUUUACCGUAUGUGCUUGCCCACAACUAAAGCAACUAAACUGAGGAUUUUUUUCUCAUUGUGUACAUGAAUUCAGCGGGUCUCUGCGUCAUUUGGUGCAACGGAUCCACUAGUUCAUAAAAAUUUAUGGGCUUUGCAAUGAUAGCCGAAGCGCUGUGCCUAUUCCCUCCGUCUGAUGAAAAGUAUACAUUUAGAAAUUUUAGAACAAAUUAUGAUGUUGAGUAAAAAAUGCAUUGGAAAGAUGCAAGCUACCAUCUCUUUUCUUUUUAAUUACCCAACCUUCAAUGAGCUAAGUGCAUGUAGAAAUUAAGAAAACUAUGUAUAUGUAUAGAAUGCUAUUGAUCUUAAUUACCGUGUGAUGAGAGAAAAUACUUUAAAGUGUAUUGAGAAGAUAGAAAUAUACUUUUUUGUAAAUAAAUUUUAAACUCAAACGUACACUGCUCAUAGGACGGAGGGUGUACCUGUUAGGGCAUGUACAAUGGUUGAUAAAACAGUCUUAUCUUAAGUCUUGCAUGUAAUUUAGAGAUGACAAAAAAGUAUGUUUACAAUGAGUUAUAUCUUAGCCUUAUCUUCAAUAACUAACAAUUCCUUAAAACAUGGUGAGACAAAUUGUGCUAAGAGAUCAUCUCUUGUCUUAUCUUAAAUAAGAGAAGACAAGCCUUUUCUUAUAAAUUCUCUUUCCUCCACCUCAUCAUUUAUCCUACGUGGCACUCUUAAGAUAGCACUAUUGUACAUGCCCUUAUAGUGAUUUCAAGUACGAAUAGUAGUCACAUGCGAUUCCCAGCUCAGCCGCCGCACGGCCUUUUUAACCGCCACACGUCCCCAAGAUACACCCAAUAAUUGGCACACGCUUCGGCGCCCAUCCUCACGGUUUCUUCUAGCCUAAAAGUCAAGCAGAGGAGGAGGAGGAGGAGGAGCACUGAGGCUUCUAGGAACUUGAGGCAGGGACGUCCGGCAGGAGGCAUGUGGGGGCGGCACUACUGGGGCGGCCGGCGGCCGAGCGACGGCGCCGCGGGUGCGGAGGCCGGCGGCGGCGUGGUGGUGAUGUUCGCGUGGCUGUCGAGUCAGGAGCGGCACGUGCGCGCGUACGUGGACCUGUACGCGGCCCUUGGGUGGGCGUGCCUCGUCUGCCACUCCGACUUCGUCACCCUAUUGGGAUAUUUGGGGGCACGCGGCUGAUGCUAGACUUGGUAUGCGUCUUUUUGGCAACUUCCAAAUUGAUCAGGAAAUCCAGAACUUAAGAUAG
This is a non-coding RNA of Triticum urartu, 8034 nucleotides long. NCBI's taxonomy places the organism in Eukaryota, Viridiplantae, Streptophyta, Magnoliopsida, Poales, Poaceae. The record is from RefSeq and is a predicted model, not a curated record.